CGGCGGAGCAUGCGGAUUAAUUCGAUGCAACGCGAAGAACCUUACCAAGGCUUGACAUACACCGGUAACGCCCAGAGAUGGGUGCCCCUUUGUGGUCGGUGUACAGGUGGUGCAUGGUUGUCGUCAGCUCGUGUCGUGAGAUGUUGGGUUAAGUCCCGCAACGAGCGCAACCCUCGUCCUAUGUUGCCAGCGGGUCAUGCCGGGGACUCAUGGGAGACUGCCGGGGUCAACUCGGAGGAAGGUGGGGAUGACGUCAAAUCAUCAUGCCCCUUAUGUCUUGGGCUUCACGCAUGCUACAAUGGCCGGUACAAAGGGCUGCGAUACCGCGAGGUGGAGCGAAUCCCAGAAAGCCGGUCUCAGUUCGGAUUGGGGUCUGCAACUCGACCCCAUGAAGUCGGAGUCGCUAGUAAUCGCAGAUCAGCAACGCUGCGGUGAAUACGUUCCCGGGCCUU
Molecule: ribosomal RNA, 452 nt
Filed under: uncultured Curtobacterium sp.
Lineage: Bacteria; Bacillati; Actinomycetota; Actinomycetes; Micrococcales; Microbacteriaceae
Description: bacterial SSU rRNA
Rfam family: Bacterial small subunit ribosomal RNA
Source: RNAcentral